RNAcentral lists this ribosomal RNA (393 nucleotides) under uncultured bacterium. RNAcentral describes it as "bacterial SSU rRNA". It matches the Rfam family "Bacterial small subunit ribosomal RNA", at positions 78 to 474 of the family's 1533-position model. The record is from RNAcentral.
UGCUGUUUCGCUGACGAGUGGCGGACGGGUGAGUAAUGUCUGGGAAACUGCCUGAUGGAGGGGGAUAACUACUGGAAACGGUAGUUAAUACCGCAUAACGUCGCAAGACCAAAGAGGGGGACCUUCGGGCCUCUUGCCAUCGGAUGUGCCCAGAUGGGAUUAGCUAGUAGGUGGGGUAACGGCUCACCUAGGCGACGAUCCCUAGCUGGUCUGAGAGGAUGACCAGCCACACUGGAACUGAGACACGGUCCAGACUCCUACGGGAGGCAGCAGUGGGGAAUAUUGCACAAUGGGCGCAAGCCUGAUGCAGCCAUGCCGCGUGUAUGAAGAAGGCCUUCGGGUUGUAAAGUACUUUCAGCGGGGAGGAAGGGAGUAAAGUUAAUACCUUUGCUC